RNAcentral lists this non-coding RNA (31 nucleotides) under Rattus norvegicus (Norway rat). Lineage: Eukaryota; Metazoa; Chordata; Mammalia; Rodentia; Muridae. The record is from RNAcentral.
UUUCAGGAAGAUGCAAAGUCUGCAUUGAGGU